Molecule: long non-coding RNA, 368 nt
Filed under: Androctonus crassicauda
Lineage: Eukaryota; Metazoa; Arthropoda; Arachnida; Scorpiones; Buthidae
Source: RNAcentral
GCUGUAUCGAAUAACUUCGAAUAAUCAAAUUACUCACUCAGUGUACAGUGUUGAUGAAUUAUGUUUCUAUCUAUACAGUUUGAUUAUGGCCAACGACGUUUUAUAAAGAACACGAAACUAUCAACUUACAAACAAGAUAUCGGAUUAUUCAAUAAAUAUUAUAUGAUAUUGCAACGAUCGAAAAUAUACAGUGUUGCAGCUAUAUUUUGCAGUAAUUUCAUUUUUAUAACAGUUUUUUUAUACCCCGACUUGCGUAAAUAUGGAGAUACGUAACUUCUCAUCUUGCCCUUCAUUCACUUGUUUGUUUCACAGUUACAUAGUUCAUAUUUAUGUAUGUACAUAUUUCAUUUGCUGAUUUGUUGAUUAAG